UGGGGAAUAUUGCACAAUGGGCGAAAGCCUGAUGCAGCAACGCCGCGUGAACGAUGAAGGUCUUCGGAUCGUAAAGUUCUGUUGCAGGGGAAGAUAAUGACGGUACCCUGUGAGGAAGCCCCGGCUAACUACGUGCCAGCAGCCGCGGUAAUACGUAGGGGGCUAGCGUUAUCCGGAUUUACUGGGCGUAAAGGGUGCGUAGGUGGUCCUUCAAGUCGGUGGUUAAAGGCUACGGCUCAACCGUAGUAAGCCGCCGAAACUGGAGGACUUGAGUGCAGGAGAGGAAAGUGGAAUUCCCAGUGUAGCGGUGAAAUGCGUAGAUAUUGGGAGGAACACCAGUAGCGAAAGCGGCUUUCUGGACGAAAACUGACGCUGAGGCGCGAAAGCCAGGGGAGCGAACGGGAUUAGAUACCCCGGUAGUCCUGGCCGUAAACGAUGGGUACUAGGUGUAGGAGGUAUCGACCCCUUCUGUGCCGGAGUUAACGCAAUAAGUACCCCGCCUGGGGGAGUACGGCCGCAAGGUUG
RNAcentral lists this ribosomal RNA (525 nucleotides) under uncultured bacterium. RNAcentral describes it as "bacterial SSU rRNA". It matches the Rfam family "Bacterial small subunit ribosomal RNA", at positions 355 to 896 of the family's 1533-position model. The record is from RNAcentral.